CCUACGGGAGGCAGCAGUGGGGAAUAUUGCGCAAUGGGCGAAAGCCUGACGCAGCGACGCCGCGUGAGGGAUGAAGGUCUUCGGAUCGUAAACCUCUGUCAGCAGGGAAGAACGGUCACUGUGCUAAUCAGCAGUGAAUUGACGGUACCUGCAAAGGAAGCACCGGCUAACUCCGUGCCAGCAGCCGCGGUAAUACGGAGGGUGCGAGCGUUAAUCGGAAUUACUGGGCGUAAAGCGCUCGUAGGCGGUAUGUCAAGUCAAGGGUGAAAUCCCCGCGCUCAACGUGGUAACUGCCUUUGAAACUGGCAAACUGGAGUGUGUGAGAGGAUAGUGGAAUUCCAGGUGUAGGAGUGAAAGCCGUAGAUAUCUGGAGGAACAUCAGUGGCGAAGGCGACUAUCUGGCACAUAACUGACGCUGAGGAGCGAAAGCGUGGGUAGCAAACAGGAUUAGAUACCCCAGUAGUC
This 465-nucleotide ribosomal RNA is filed under the name uncultured bacterium. RNAcentral describes it as "partial 16S ribosomal RNA". It matches the Rfam family "Bacterial small subunit ribosomal RNA", at positions 338 to 795 of the family's 1533-position model. The record is from RNAcentral.